CCUACGGGAGGCAGCAGUGAGGAAUAUUGGUCAAUGGACGAGAGUCUGAACCAGCCAAGUAGCGUGAAGGAUGACUGCCCUAUGGGUUGUAAACUUCUUUUAUAUGGGAAUAAAAUGUUCCACGUGUGGGAUUUUGUAUGUACCAUAUGAAUAAGGAUCGGCUAACUCCGUGCCAGCAGCCGCGGUAAUACGGAGGAUCCGAGCGUUAUCCGGAUUUAUUGGGUUUAUAGGGAGCGUAGGUGGAUUGUUAAGUCAGUUGUGAAAGUUUGCGGCUCAACCGUAAAAUUGCAGUUGAAACUGGCAGUCUUGAGUACAGUAGAGGUGGGCGGAAUGCGUGGUGUAGCGGUGAAAUGCUUAGAUAUCACGAAGAACUCCGAUUGCGAAGGCAGUUCACUGGACUGCAACUGACACUGAGGCUCGAAAGUGUGGGUAUCAAACAGGAUUAGAUACCCUUGUAGUC
This 460-nucleotide ribosomal RNA is filed under the name uncultured bacterium. RNAcentral's name for it is "partial 16S ribosomal RNA". It matches the Rfam family "Bacterial small subunit ribosomal RNA", at positions 338 to 795 of the family's 1533-position model. The record is from RNAcentral.